GACGAACGCUGGCGGCGUGCUUAACACAUGCAAGUCGAACGGAAAGGCCCUGCUUUUGUGGGGUGCUCGAGUGGCGAACGGGUGAGUAACACGUGAGUAACCUGCCCUUGACUUUGGGAUAACUUCAGGAAACUGGGGCUGAUACCGGAUAGGAGCUCCUGCUGCAUGGUGGGGGUUGGAAAGUUUCGGCGGUUGGGGAUGGACUCGCGGCUUAUCAGCUUGUUGGUGGGGUAGUGGCUUACCAAGGCUUUGACGGGUAGCCGGCCUGAGAGGGUGACCGGCCGCAUUGGGACUGAGAUACGGCCCAGACUCCUACGGGAGGCAGCAGUGGGGAAUAUUGCACAAUGGGCGGAAGCCUGAUGCAGCAACGCCGCGUGCGGGAUGACGGCCUUCGGGUUGUAAACCGCUUUCGCCUGUGACGAAGCGUGAGUGACGGUAAUGGGUAAAGAAGCACCGGCUAACUACGUG
RNAcentral lists this ribosomal RNA (468 nucleotides) under uncultured bacterium. RNAcentral describes it as "partial 16S ribosomal RNA". It matches the Rfam family "Bacterial small subunit ribosomal RNA", at positions 28 to 507 of the family's 1533-position model. The record is from RNAcentral.